This 69-nucleotide transfer RNA is filed under the name Sphaerodactylus townsendi. RNAcentral describes it as "tRNA-Thr". The record is from RNAcentral. Lineage: Eukaryota; Metazoa; Chordata; Lepidosauria; Squamata; Sphaerodactylidae.
ACUGUGGCUCAGUGGAAGAGCUUCAGCUUUGUGCGCAGAAGGCUCCAAGUUCAGUCCCCAGCAUCUAUA